RNAcentral lists this ribosomal RNA (251 nucleotides) under uncultured bacterium. RNAcentral describes it as "partial 16S ribosomal RNA". It matches the Rfam family "Bacterial small subunit ribosomal RNA", at positions 525 to 775 of the family's 1533-position model. The record is from RNAcentral.
ACGUAGGUGGCAAGCGUUGUCCGGAUUUAUUGGGCGUAAAGCGAGUGCAGGCGGUUUUAUAAGUCUGAUGUGAAAGCCCUCGGCUCAACCGAGGAACUGCAUCAGAAACUGUAAGACUUGAGUGCAGAAGAGGAGAGUGGAACUCCAUGUGUAGCGGUGGAAUGCGUAGAUAUAUGGAAGAACACCAGUGGCGAAGGCGGCUCUCUGGUCUGUAACUGACGCUGAGGCUCGAAAGCAUGGGUAGCGAACAG